Molecule: small RNA, 124 nt
Filed under: uncultured Stackebrandtia sp.
Lineage: Bacteria; Bacillati; Actinomycetota; Actinomycetes; Glycomycetales; Glycomycetaceae
Description: ydaO/yuaA leader
Rfam family: c-di-AMP riboswitch aptamer (ydaO/yuaA leader)
About the family: This family represents a conserved RNA structure found upstream of the ydaO and yuaA genes in Bacillus subtilis and related genes in other bacteria. The ydaO/yuaA element is thought to act as a genetic "off" switch for the ydaO and yuaA genes in its native state.
Source: RNAcentral
ACCGCCGAGUCGCUUUCAGCGAGCCGGGGACCCACCGUCCGGCAGGAGGACAUGGGGUGUAUCCGCGCGGUCGGCGCGGUAGGGCAGUCUUCGGCCCGAACCCGACAGCUAACCCGGUAGGCGG